Molecule: ribosomal RNA, 530 nt
Filed under: Myriophora plana
Lineage: Eukaryota; Metazoa; Arthropoda; Insecta; Diptera; Phoridae
Description: partial 16S ribosomal RNA
Rfam family: Bacterial large subunit ribosomal RNA (bases 393-530)
Source: RNAcentral
AACAUGUCUUUUAGAAUUUAAUUUAAAGUCUAACCUGCCCACUGAUUUUUUUUAAAUGGCCGCAGUAUCCUAACUGUGCAAAGGUAGCAUAAUCAUUAGUCUUUUAAUUGAAGGCUGGAAUGAAUGGUUGGAUGAAAUAUUAACUGUUUCAUAUAAAUUUAUAGUAAAAUUUUAUUUUUUAGUUAAAAAGCUAAAAUAUAAUUAAAAGACGAGAAGACCCUAUAAAUCUUUAUACUUAAAUAAUUAAAAUUAUUUAGAUAAUUUAAAUUUUAUUUUUUUUAAAUAUUUUAUUGGGGUGAUAUUAAAAUUUAAUAAACUUUUAAUUUAUUAUAAACAUAAAUUAAUGAUUUAUUGAUCCAAAAAUUAUGAUUAAAAAAUUAAGUUACUUUAGGGAUAACAGCGUAAUUUUUUUUGAGAGUUCAUAUUGAUAAAAAAGAUUGCGACCUCGAUGUUGGAUUAAGAUACAAAUUUAGGUGCAGUAGCUUAAAUUUAAAGUCUGUUCGACUUUUAAAUUCUUACAUGAUCUGAGU